CAGCAGCCGCGGUAAUACGUAGGGGGCAAGCGUUAUCCGGAUUUACUGGGUGUAAAGGGAGCGUAUACGGUAAAGCAAGUCUGAAGUGAAAGCCCGGGGCUCAACCCCGGGACUGCUUUGGAAACUGUUUAACUAGAGUGCUGGAGAGGUAAGCGGAAUUCCUAGUGUANCGGUGAAAUGCNUAGAUAUUANGAGGAACACCAGUGGCGAANGCGGCUUACUGGACAGUAACUGACGUUGAGGCUCGAAAGCGUGGGGAGCAAACAGGAUUAGAUACCCUGGUANUCCACGCCGUAAACNAUGAAUACUANGUGUUGGNGGACAAAGUCCUUCGGUGCCNUCNCAAACGCAAUANNUAUUCCACCUGGGGAGU
RNAcentral lists this ribosomal RNA (373 nucleotides) under uncultured bacterium. RNAcentral describes it as "partial 16S ribosomal RNA". It matches the Rfam family "Bacterial small subunit ribosomal RNA", at positions 509 to 881 of the family's 1533-position model. The record is from RNAcentral.